UUUUUUUUUUUUUUUUGUUAAUAUGAGAUAGAAUUUUUUGCCAAAGGUUAGCCUCAAUCAAAUUUGAUGUAGAUACUUCAUUUAGCAUUUCAAUCGUUUUGAUUAUGAAAAUAUCAUUUACAUUUUCUCCAACCAAAACCACCUUAGAAUCCCUUAGGACUUCAAAAACUCCACCUUUUCUCUUGUAUUCACACCUCAAAGAGUCUAGCAUUCCUAGGAAAAAUCAGAUUUCAACUCCUGUCGAUUGAUUUCUUUACAAGUGUUGAACCAUGUUUUAAAAGGUGUCGUGUGGUAUGUGCAGCAAGAGUCAAGAACUCAAUCAUGUUUACUAGAGGGGGUAACAUGAUUGGCUUGGUAUGGGGUUGAUGCCAAAGCAUAUGUAAAGAUAAAGGAACCUUCUACUACAAAUGCUUCAGGUUUCUUUUUAUCUUUAAUCCUUAAAGAUUUGCCUUCUUGAAAUGAAGAUUCGCUCUGAUACCACACUUUGUCGGGCUACCAUGCGUGAAUUCCUUGAUUUAGGCCUAAAAAUAUAAGGCAGACUAAUGGAGACAUGGAGCCCAUGAUGGAGAUGGAUUUGAAAAAUCAGUAGGUAGAUGGAAAGAAGAUGGAGAACUAGCCAUGUUACCAACUUCUUGACCACACACGUAUUUAAUUUGAAUAUCAAAUGUUGUGGGUGUUCAAACAGAAGGUAAAGUUUCUGUUCCUUUCUCUCUACACAAUGAUUUCCUCUCUCACAAACUCUCUGUGAAGUUAAGCUUCAACAACGGCGGGAAUUUAAGACAUGCAAGAUGAAAGAAAAGAAAGAACAGUAGAAGCUAUAAACACAAUAUUUUAUGUGGUUCAGCCAAAUAAAAGUCUACAUCCACGAGGAAAGACAAAAUUUAUUGAAGAAGAAAGAUGAGUACAUACACUUUUGUCUCUAAAACUCAAAAGAAAAAAAAAUCUAAGACCAUGCCUUUAUAUAGUCGGUGAUUUUUCAAGAAAAGUGUUGCUAAAACUGAAAGAAUAGAUAGUCGUUGGGUUCAAAAUUUUGUUACAUUUUGUAAUUUGUAAGAGUGAUUUCGCUGUUGAGUGUUAAGAAGUUGGAUAUUUAUAGUCAUUAUUGUCGAACCCUAAAGAUUGAUAUGAUUUAAUUUGUCGUACAAUUUGUGGAACACAUUAAUUAAAUAAUACCUUUUGUGACUUGUGAGAA
Long non-coding RNA from Cucumis melo (muskmelon), 1192 nucleotides. RefSeq lists it as uncharacterized. The transcript is spliced from 2 exons. The record is from RefSeq and is a predicted model, not a curated record. NCBI's taxonomy places the organism in Eukaryota, Viridiplantae, Streptophyta, Magnoliopsida, Cucurbitales, Cucurbitaceae.